GAAUAGAUACCCUGGUAGUCCACGCCCUAAACGAUGCGAACUGGAUGUUGGGUACAUUACGGUACUCAGUGUCGAAGCUAACGCGUUAAGUUCGCCGCCUGGGGAGUACGGUCGCAAGACUGAAACUCAAAGGAAUUGACGGGGGCCCGCACAAGCGGUGGAGUAUGUGGUUUAAUUCGAUGCAACGCGAAGAACCUUACCUGGCCUUGACAUCUGUCGAAUCCUGCAGAGAUGCGGGAGUGCCGCAAGGAACGACAAGACAGGUGCUGCAUGGCUGUCGUCAGCUCGUGUCGUGAGAUGUUGGGUUAAGUCCCGCAACGAGCGCAACCCUUGUCCCUAGUUGCCAGCACGUAAUGGUGGGAACUCUAGGGAGACUGCCGGUGACAAACCGGAGGAAGGUGGGGAUGACGUCAAGUCCUCAUGGCCCUUACGGCCAGGGCUACACACGUACUACAAUGGUCGGUACAGAGGGUUGCGGAAGCCGCGAGGUGGAGCCAAUCCCGAAGAAAACCGAUCCCAGGUCCGGAUCGGAGUCUGCAACG
This 542-nucleotide ribosomal RNA is filed under the name uncultured bacterium. RNAcentral's name for it is "bacterial SSU rRNA". It matches the Rfam family "Bacterial small subunit ribosomal RNA", at positions 776 to 1312 of the family's 1533-position model. The record is from RNAcentral.